Molecule: ribosomal RNA, 484 nt
Filed under: uncultured bacterium
Lineage: Bacteria
Description: partial 16S ribosomal RNA
Rfam family: Bacterial small subunit ribosomal RNA
Source: RNAcentral
GACGAACGCUGGCGGCGUGCUUAACACAUGCAAGUCGAACGAUGAAGCUGGAGCUUGCUCCGGUGGAUUAGUGGCGAACGGGUGAGUAACACGUGAGAAAUCUGCCCUUGACUCUGGGAUAACUGCGGGAAACUGUAGCUAAUACCGGAUAUUUUCCUUGGUGGGCAUCCACUGGGGAAGAAAGAAUUUCGGUCAAGGAUGAUCUCGCGGCCUAUCAGCUAGUUGGUGAGGUAAUGGCUCACCAAGGCGACGACGGGUAGCCGGCCUGAGAGGGUGACCGGCCACACUGGGACUGAGACACGGCCCAGACUCCUACGGGAGGCAGCAGUGGGGAAUAUUGCACAAUGGGCGCAAGCCUGAUGCAGCAACGCCGCGUGAGGGAUGAAGGCCUUCGGGUUGUAAACCUCUUUUAGCAGGGAAGAAGCGAAAGUGACGGUACCUGCAGAAAAAGCACCGGCUAACUACGUGCCAGCCGCCGCGGUAA